AACGAACGCUGGCGGCAUGCCUAACACAUGCAAGUCGAACGAGACCUUCGGGUCUAGUGGCGCACGGGUGCGUAACGCGUGGGAAUCUGCCCUUGGGUUCGGAAUAACAGCGAGAAAUUGCUGCUAAUACCGGAUGAUGACGUAAGUCCAAAGAUUUAUCGCCCAAGGAUGAGCCCGCGUUGGAUUAGCUAGUUGGUGAGGUAAAGGCUCACCAAGGCGACGAUCCUUAGCUGGUCUGAGAGGAUGAUCAGCCACACUGGGACUGAGACACGGCCCAGACUCCUACGGGAGGCAGCAGUGGGGAAUAUUGGACAAUGGGCGAAAGCCUGAUCCAGCAAUGCCGCGUGAGUGAUGAAGGCCUUAGGGUUGUAAAGCUCUUUUACCCGGGAUGAUAAUGACAGUACCGGGAGAAUAAGCCCGGCUAACUCCGUGCCAGCAGCCGCGGUAAU
RNAcentral lists this ribosomal RNA (449 nucleotides) under uncultured bacterium. RNAcentral describes it as "bacterial SSU rRNA". It matches the Rfam family "Bacterial small subunit ribosomal RNA", at positions 29 to 524 of the family's 1533-position model. The record is from RNAcentral.